GAAGGAGAGCACGAGCCGGAAAUGGAAAAGCCGGUACAAGCGUAUAGCAGUCAUGCAGGCAAAACCGCAUGAAAAAUGUAAAGCGUUAUGUGGAUCGAACAUUAGUAGAGAAGCGUGUGAGCCAGCUGCCAAGAAAAGCCGCUAUUGUUUCAUAAGUACCCGUACCGUAAACCGACACAGGUGGAUGAGGAGAGAAUCCUAAGGCCGGCGGGAGAAGUGUUGUUAAGGAACUCGGCAAAAUGACUCCGUAACUUCGGGAGAAGGAGUGCCACAGAGAUGUGGCCGCAGAGAAAUGGCCCAAGCAACUGUUUAGCAAAAACACAGGUCUAUGCAAAACCGAAAGGUGAGGUAUAUGGGCUGACGCCUGCCCGGUGCUGGAAGGUUAAGAGGAGAGGUUAGAGCAAUCGAAGCUUUGAAUUUAAGCCCCAGUAAACGGCGGCCGUAACUAUAACGGUCCUAAGGUAGCGAAAUUCCUUGUCGGGUAAGUUCCGACCCGCACGAAAGGCGUAAUGAUUUGGGCACUGUCUCAACAACACACCCGGUGAAAUUGAAAUACCAGUGAAGAUGCUGGUUACCUGCGCCAGGACGGAAAGACCCCAUGGAGCUUUACUCCAGUUUGAUACUGGGAUUCGGUACUGUCUGUACAGGAUAGGUGGGAGGCUAGGAAAUGGUGACGCCAGUUGCCAUGGAGCCAACCUUGGGAUACCACCCUUACAGUACUGGGUUUCUAACCUGCAGCCGUAACCCGGCUGGGGGACAAUGUCUGACGGGGAGUUUGACUGGGGCGGUCGCCUCCGAAAGAGUAUCGGAGGCGCUCAAAGGUUCCCUCAGAACGGUUGGAAACCGUUCGAAGAGUGCAAAGGCAGAAGGGAGCUUGACUGCGACACCGACGGGUGGAGCAGAUACGAAAGUAGGACUUAGUGAUCCGGUGGUAUAAAGUGGGAUUGCCAUCGCUCAACGGAUAAAAGCUACCCCUGGGAUAACAGGCUUAUCACUCCCAAGAGUUCACAUCGACGGAGUGGUUUGGCACCUCGAUGUCGGCUCAUCGCAUCCUGGAGCUGUAGCAGGUUCCAAGGGUUGGGCUGUUCGCCCAUUAAAUCGGUACGCGAGCUGGGUUCAGAACGUCGUGAGACAGUUCGGUCCCUAUCCGGCGUGGGCGUAGGAUAUUUGAGAGGAGCUGUCCUUAGUACGAGAGGACCGGGAUGGACAAACCUCUGGUGUAUCUGUUGUUUUACCAAAGGCAUGGCAGAGUAGCCAAGUUUGGCAGGGAUAAACGCUGAAGGCAUCUAAGCGUGAAGCCCCCCUCAAGAUAAGAUAUCCCAUCUUCGGAGUAAGACCCCUUGAAGACUACAAGGUUGAUAGGCUUCAGGUGUAAGUGUGGUAACGCACUCAGCUGAGAAGUACUAAUAGGUCGAGGACUUAUC
This 1424-nucleotide ribosomal RNA is filed under the name metagenome. RNAcentral's name for it is "bacterial LSU rRNA". It matches the Rfam family "Bacterial large subunit ribosomal RNA", at positions 1477 to 2925 of the family's 2925-position model. The record is from RNAcentral.